Long non-coding RNA from Apis mellifera (honey bee), 6505 nucleotides. RefSeq lists it as uncharacterized. NCBI's taxonomy places the organism in Eukaryota, Metazoa, Arthropoda, Insecta, Hymenoptera, Apidae. The record is from RefSeq and is a predicted model, not a curated record. The transcript is spliced from 3 exons.
AAAAAAAAAAGUCAUAAGGAAAGAAAGUCUCUUUGCUAAAGCAUCGAACCUUUUUCACCACCAAUUUUCUCUAUCUUCGCUCAGGGAAGAGCGAUAUGAGCUCGCCCUAGUUUCUAGAGUUAUCGUGUAUAAACCGGUGCCGGUGAAGAUGUUUGAUCCCUGAAAGUCCACGAGAAAACGUGGAGAGCAAAAGGAACGAUAAAAUAGAAACGAACGAGGCGUUCAGUGGAAUCGUCGGUUAGAUAAUGGAUUUACGAUAUUUAUUGUUAGAAAAUCAAUCUAUUUGGACAAAUCUUUAAUUAAAAACGAACCUGAAUAAAGAACGAACGGAAUACUGAGAGGUUAUCGUCUUGAAAUAUCUUUGCAAAUAAAUAUCUAUAUUUUUCGCAAUAAUAUAUAUCCGCUUUUCUCAUUUUCUCGAGCAAUGAUUAUUUUAUUUUGCACGUGUACUUUGCCACAUAAGAUCCCUUCACGAAGGAACAUCCAUUUCUUCAGAAUGUACGCACACGCCCUUUGCAAAUAGGCAGUAAACUUCUUUGGAUAUAUGCAUCCCACCCUCCUUGAGUAAAGGCCACUUUUAUAGGCUAUAUACACGGACCUUUUGCGAAUAAAUGUUCCCUUAUCAAGUGCGUACGCUCCAUUAUACAUAAAUACAUAAAUAUAUACAUUUUUUGAAAUGCAUAAUCCCGUAAAUUUGAGAACUCGAGAUUCUAAUAUUAUUAAAAUAUGAUAUAAUACAUAAAAUUUUGCCAAUCUUUAAAUAAUUUUCAUCAAACAUCAAAUAGUAACGAUUAAUCGAAGCGACACAAUCCAAAACCAUAUCUGUCUCUAAAUAAGAGAUUCUUUUUUGAUUAGCUCACUCUCAUUAAAAUAUCUGCCUAUAACACUAUUAUCACAUAUAUAUAUGUAUCUACGUUUUUCCAAGAUUCAUCCCAAAACAGCAAAUUUCAACGAAACGACAUUCGCCUUAUUUUUCGAUGUAGCCAUUUCUCCUUUUCUCGAACGAAUUCGAGCGGCCAGAAACUUCUGUCCCUUUUCAACAAAGAAUUCGAUCUAACUCAAAGUCUCAAGCAAGCGUGGCAACUUGCGAGAGCGUCAGAAUUGAAGCGAAAAUUCCGAAUUCCCUAGAUAUUCGUCGAAUACGUGGCGGCAGACUUGCGAACUAUCGCGAUGAAACCUCUCUCUCUCUCUCUCUCUCUCUCUCACUCUCACCACACACACAGCCAGCUAUUCGCCGCUCAAAAAUUUCGAUCGCGAUUCUCAUGCAGAAGCGCGCUUCGGCAGUGAAAAACUGGAUCGCAUGCAAAAUUGAUCAGCCGCGAGUAGUGAAGAGUUUGGAACGCUUGGCCGAAACUCGACACGAGGGCCAACGGUCAACGUCGCCUCGUUUGCGCUUCCUUGUCCACCGGCAUCUCACUUUUCGCCCCGUCGUCUCUGUUUUCUAUUCCGAGGGCCGAUAUCGAUCCAACCGCGUGACGCUGGCUGCUGCCCGCUCAUUACUUUACUUUACUACGCUUGUACAUGUCGUUUUCUUGCACACGGCAGGCAAAAUAUUAUACUUAUACGCUUCUCGCUCGAAUAUGUUACGAGAUUUCCGAUCGAAAAAUUAUGCGUCACGCUUUCAGGAUGGAAUUACCAUUUUUUAUCAUCGAGAUAUCGUGAAUAUCGGAUAAGGAUUGGAUAAAGUCGAGCAUAAAUUCUAGCAUUGGCAAGUUCGCAUAAAGAUCGUAUCCUUAAUUUCGUCUCUGCCCACUAAUUUCCCCCUAGCGGCGCACAGUACAAUCUCGCAUAAGAAUUACGUACAAAAUGUGUCGCACGGUGGCGCGCGGUUCGCGCAAAAACGAGAAAGAGUACGUGCGUUACAUGCAUGCAGCGGAAUAUUUUAUUCGCUUACUUAAUACGCCACGUAUUUGCGACUCACGCUGCUUAAUAUUCGUGGUACGAGGGGGUGGAAGGAAAGUGAGUCCGGUUUACGUAAGUGCACGCUGGCAAUCGCAUUUUCCGAGGCGGGUAGAACGAAGAUAUAGAGAUACGGAGCAUUCAAUUUCAGACUGCGGACAGAAAGAGUGAGAGGCAAGAGUAGUCGGAUAGAGAGAGGUUAAGGAAAAGAAGAGCGUAAUAGGAAAUCGGACCGAGAGAUAGCGCCACAUACCGGAACGAAAGAAGAGAGAUUUAGUGGAAGAGAACGAAAUGUAAGAGGUUAAUUGGAAUAGAUAACUACUACGCGGCGCGUGUGUCGAUGUGUAUCUUUCGUGACAGUUAGAUUUCUCUUGCUUGCCACACUCUCUUAUUCGUUGUUAAAUCAUUUGUGAAUACAGCAAAAUAUGAUCAUAUUUUCCUCAUAUGUUACAAAUAACGAUUUGAUGUUACACAUACGGCGGAGUCUCGUCAUUAACAGUUAACGGCCGUCGACUGUCGCGCGCGUUUAUUUACAUUGGGACACGGAAUAUGCUGUGGUGCACUCUGACUGAGAGAGCGGCGAGAUGCAUAAGGGGAUGUUUGUUGAAGCGAGUGGAACUGGAGAGGAUGUGAAUAAGAUAGAAAAAAAAGAAAGAAAGAAUAUCUUGAAUUUGAAUUAAAUGAAAUAUUUAUGAUCGCGAAAAAAAUUCUUAGAUAUUAAUAACAACAACAAUGAUAAUAAUAAAAGAAUGCUAACGGGAGAAUGAAUAUCAAAACAGUUUGAAUUAGAAACAAUUUCUUUGAAUAUCAGAAAUUCUAUUUUUUUUUUUUUUAAGAUGAAAGAUGUGUUCAAAGAAACGCGGAAGUAAAGAUACGUCGAAUAAGCAUGAACUUCAAUGAAUGCUUACAUUGUCAUUUACGCUGGGUAUGGCAUAGUAGUUUACAUUGAUUGCAUACUGCAGCUGCUAAGCGAUGAACUUACUACACUCUCUCUUCCCCAAUCGUCUAUUUUCUAAUAUCGGUUUCGACUCUCGUUAUAACCUAUACCACCAUCGAAUUGUUUUCUUUUGCCACUCUUUGUUUUAUACACGCAGUCAGUCAUAUUUGUUUCUCCGUCUUCACCUAUUUAUAAACUCGCCGAUACGUAUACGCUAUUCCCGCACUCAGUUGAAUGCGUUUAUUUAUUCAGCUGUUUGCACUUGCGAGCGAGCGAGUGAGAAUCAUGAACGGCUCGCGCACGUGUUAAUGGCGGUGGAAGCGUGUUCACGAAUCACGUGAUGUCAACUCCGCCACGGCAUAAUUUGCGUAUUAUUUAUGGCGUUGGUGUUGCGACUUUUCUCGAAAAAGAAUUUUCCAGGAACAUGAGAAUAGCUUAAGGACAUGAUUGUAUGAGUUUGUGAUACUUUUUUUCUUUCCAAACAAAGAAACGUAACUUCAACUUGUACGAAAAUUUAAUUGUGAAAAAUGAAAAGUGAAAAAAAGUAAGUAUAAAAAUAAACGAUUAGAGAAAACAAUAAUACGUGACUGGGUAACGAGUAAUUGAUAUCAUAUAUACAGUACUAAUAGUUUCACAAGUAUCUAAGUUUCGAGAUCAUCAAUUCACGGUCCAUCACAAACAGAAGUGUUAGUAAGACAAUUUGCAUUUCUGUUUAGAUUCAAUUUAUGUUACUAGUACUACAACUUAGUACCAUCUUAAUUUCUUGUAUAUAUUCGCCCAAUUCGCUACGAUAAAUGGAUCGCUAUGAUAUUUGCAUUAUAAAAAUUUCUAAAAAUAAAUUUAAAGUUUCUCAUUCCUUCCAUCUAAAUCUCUCAUAUUUACAUGGAGCAAUAGUAUAUCAUUUUCACUUGUUAUCAGCAAACUUUUGAAAACUUUCAACUUUCAUCUCCUGCCUCUUUCAUUCCAAUAGACAACGGACAAACUCGCUCAUAAAUUCUCCAAACGAGACCGUAUCCAACUGUAAAAAGAACAAGUCUCCGUAAAAAGCGGACCAACUCUUACUUCACCGAGUAUCUAUAUCGAACUGGCUCUGAAAUCGCGCUCAAGAAAACAGUCCAGAUGGCGCCACCGGUCGGCAAAGAACCCCGAUAAUCAGAGAUCAAAUGUCGGAAUCGGUAGUUCAUCGAACGGUCGCAGUGUUCUUGCUGAUUAUCGAGAUGCAAUCCCGGGACGGGAGAAUUGGGAGCAGACGGAAAAACGAACGGAAAGAAUAAAGGAACAGGCUGGAAAUGAGAAGAAGCGAAGAGAAGAGAGAGGCUGCCAAUGGCCAACGAACUCGAGAGGCGAGAAGAGGAAGGCGAGGCUCGAUCGGUAAAGAAGGAUCGCGACCAGUUUCUCGGAGACAAGUUGCGAGGUAUUAAGUAACUGGAAGCUUCGUGUCUUUAUCUCGAAGAGUAGAAGCGUAACGCGGAAACCUCUUCCUUGUUUCCCUUUCCGCCUCCCACCACCGCCCCCUCUCCACCUCGUUCACCUCGUUCGUAGAAUCUUCUACCGUUUGCGAGCGUCGAGCACGGGCACGAGAUAGAUUUUACGCAAGAAUCUCGGGGACGAAGCGGCGCAUUACGGAUAAUAAAGGAGAUUGACUCUAAAUUACAAAGUCCGUUGCAGACGGCCGCAUUGAAUACCUCUCAGGCACAGAAGCGUCGCCAAAUCGGUUUUACGGUCGGCAGGUGGUCCGACUGCUCUUCUGCACUUACGAUUCGUCUGCUUGUCUCAACUCCUCCCCCCACUCUCUCUCCCAUCCCAGUUGCAGCUAGCUUCGUUACCCCCACCCCAGUUCAGCCUAGUUUCUUCGCUAUUAAUUGUUACCGUUUCAACGUGGCGUGGCGCGCAGCGCACGAAGCUGGGCGACGAUAGCGCCACCGGCCUUCUUCCGUCGCGUUCUAAUUACACGAUUAAAAGAAAGUUAAUCCGCGGACGACACGCGGACGCGUAAACAAACGACGGGGAGAGACAAUCGGUCUCUCGGCGUGAGCGGAAGAACGACGACGACCGGGCGACGAGUAAUUUAACGCUCGACGAGAUUUAUUAAAAUUUUCUUCGUCUUUUUUCCUUUGGCCGGAGAGGAGAAUGGUUGUUGGAGGACGGCAUGCGGGCUCUUUCUCUCUCUCUCUCUCCCCGGUAUAAACGGUUUUUUGUAGCGAGCACGCCAGCGGCCCGGUUCUUUGUGGUAACGGCCACGAAUUUCCCCUCCGGUGCUGCCACUAAUUUUCGGAGUUAUACUCUUUUGUGCGCGCGUAAUUAUAAACACGUCCGCGCGUUCCUACCAAGUUUUCUCGCCGGACAACGGAAGCUUGUCUAACGGCGAUCUGUGAAUAUUUGUUCGUUUCAACGGGGAUGAUGAAAGGGAGAAGUUGAAAUUGGAUUCACUUGUUAAUAGAAUGUUUGUACGGUAAUAAUAUAAGAAUUUAAUAUUGCCAAGUGCGUUGAGAUUGAUUAACAGAUUUUUAGCUAGUCUAUCUUUUUCAAGAAGAAAGAUUUUGGAAUUGGUUGUUAUUAAUUUGGAUAAUCCAAGGGUUGACUAAUAAAUAAUAACUCUGCACCUGUAAUUCGUGUAAUCCGAAUUUUUAAUUUCACUUCGAUUGUCCUCACGAUAAUCCUCAUAAUUUAUAAGGCAUCUUGAGCAGCGUUGGAUAGAUUAGUCUGCUUAGCACGUAGUCGAAACACGAGCGUCUAAACGUGAGAUUGUAAGGCGAGAGGUGGUGGUGGUGGUGGUUGGUGGUGGUGGUGGUGGCCCAGUUUCGGUGAAAUGAAAUUUAUUUCAUUAGAAGCGCCUGUGACCGACGUAAAACGAAUUCUUGAGCCAUUUUCGACUUAAGACCGAGUCGGUUAAAAUUUCAAGGGAAUGAAAUUUUUUAGUUUGCUUCAUUGGCCAAGUGUUAAUUUGGCGAAAGGAUCAAAAAUUUGAAUGCUUGAUUCACCAUUAAUGAAAACGAGAGUGAUGCUUUUCUCUGCAAUUUUAAAAAGUUUAAUUUUGUUCAAUUUUUUUUUCUUCUAACGUAAAAAAAAAAACGAAUGUUAAACACUUCUUACAAGUAAUCCACGAGAGAAGAAGAAAUAAGAUCAAGGGACAUUUAAUCGUUGUGCAUGCGCGGCUAUUACGACUAGCUUUUCCAGCAAUCGUCGUAAAACGCACGACCACCAUCGUAUUGCUAGAAAUUUCACCGGAGUAGAAUCGUCAGACGCAUCGAGAGAACAGAAGAGAGUGAAAAAGAAAAGGAAAAAAAAGAAAGAAAGAAAGAAGAAAAAAGGAAUGAAAAGACCAACAAAACCUAAAACGCGUGGAAACGAGGUGGAAAGGUAGGCAAAACACAAGCAUCGUGUCUUAGCCCGAUAAAGGUAGGAUACGGAGUGGUUUAACCGCGAUGGUAAAAGUGCAGCGAGAUAUCCGCUCGGUGGAGCUCCGACGCGUCGAGACGGAGCUGAGCUUACACAAAGGAUAAAGACUAGGAGGGUGGAAGGAGGAUGAAGCUCAGAAAGGGUUUGGGUAGCAUGAAAUACGCGGAGAUGAAGAAAAGAGCAUUAUUUGAAUAAAAUAUUUGAAAAUUGAUUAUUUAAGUGAUCAAGUUACUCGAUUCAACUUUAAAGUAAAUUAUAACUGUAUGAGUA